Molecule: ribosomal RNA, 497 nt
Filed under: uncultured bacterium
Lineage: Bacteria
Description: partial 16S ribosomal RNA
Rfam family: Bacterial small subunit ribosomal RNA
Source: RNAcentral
GACGAACGCUGGCGGCGUGCCUAAUACAUGCAAGUUGAGCGCUGAAGGUUGGUACUUGUACCGACUGGCUGAGCAGCGAACGGGUGAGUAACGCGUGGGGAAUCUGCCUUUGAGCGGGGGACAACAUUUGGAAACGAAUGCUAAUACCGCAUAAAAACUUUAAACACAAGUUUUAAGUUUGAAAGAUGCAAUUGCAUCACUCAAAGAUGAUCCCGCGUUGUAUUAGCUAGUUGGUGAGGUAAAGGCUCACCAAGGCGAUGAUACAUAGCCGACCUGAGAGGGUGAUCGGCCACAUUGGGACUGAGACACGGCCCAAACUCCUACGGGAGGCAGCAGUAGGGAAUCUUCGGCAAUGGACGAAAGUCUGACCGAGCAACGCCGCGUGAGUGAAGAAGGUUGUCGGAUCGUAAAACUCUGUUGGUAGAGAAGAACGUUGGUGAGAGUGGAAAGCUCAUCAAGUGACGGUAACUACCCAGAAAGGGACGGCUAACUACGUG